CUCUGCAAACAUCCAUGUAUUUCUCUUAUGGCAGGAUUCUGAACAAACGCUGAAGGGCAGAAAGGGCGAUGUCCCUUAUGCACCUGAAUUCCCCACAUAUGUACCUGGAGCCCUCAAAACUAGAUGAUUCUAUGGAAUGACAGACUCGCCCUGCCCUGGAUCAGGAGGAAAGAUUCAAAGCCAACCUCAGCUCUGUUCUCAAGCCGCAAAGCGAGACUCGACACCACUCAGCGAUGAAAAGUAUGGGCUCUGGAAAGUCAGAUGAACCUUAAUUUGAAUCUCAGCUCAACCACUUCCUAGAUGUGUGAUCCGGGUGCAGACUUUAUUCAAGCAAUUUCAGCUUUAAUUUCCUCGUGUGUCAAACAGGAGUACCAGUAACGUGGAUGUCAGGAGGUUGGCGGGCAGGGUCUAUGAAUGUAAGCUCCUGAAGCACAGAGAUUUUGUUCACUGUUAUAUCCCCAGUGCCCAGAAGAGUGUCUGCACAUAGUAGGUGCUUAAUCAAUAUUUGAAUGACUAAGUGCCUAUGAAGCAUUAGGAGCAGGGUCUGGCCACGAGGACUCAAUAUUGUGGCUUAUGACAAUGCACUUUACACACAAAGGUAUGGCGGCACAAAAGCAAUUGCCCUUGGGGCUUAGAGCCCCUGCGGAGCUGCUCUUUGUCACUACCUGAAUUCCCGCCCCCUCCCCAGCUGCCGGGGGUGGGGGAAGUGAAAGCAAAUUCUUAGCAGCCUCCAAGAACCAUAUAUCCUGAAAGAAAUCUGUGAAAGCCCACACUUCUGCUUCUAAUUCUAUCCCUACUUACAAUUCUUUCCGGGGCUCCUCCUUGGUUGCUUCAUCUCAAUAAAAAUGGUUCCAAAAGAAAGUCCACAUCCUGGGUGUGAGCCAGUUUUAGUUAAAAGACUCAGAAGACUUUAUCCGCCAAGGAAAAAAGUCUGAAAAAUCCAGAAGUUCAUGGUAGGCAGAGGUUCUCACUGAAAAACAGCAAUAACAAACAAAAAUAAAGGAAAUUAAAAACCCAAACACA
Molecule: long non-coding RNA, 1023 nt
Filed under: Suricata suricatta (meerkat)
Lineage: Eukaryota; Metazoa; Chordata; Mammalia; Carnivora; Herpestidae
Description: lncRNA (ENSSSUG00005019994.1)
Source: RNAcentral